Molecule: transfer RNA, 73 nt
Filed under: Stegodyphus mimosarum
Lineage: Eukaryota; Metazoa; Arthropoda; Arachnida; Araneae; Eresidae
Rfam family: tRNA
About the family: Transfer RNA (tRNA) molecules are approximately 80 nucleotides in length. Their secondary structure includes four short double-helical elements and three loops (D, anti-codon, and T loops).
Source: Rfam by way of RNAcentral
GCCCUCGUGGUGUAAUGGUCAGCACACUCGACGCCUAUUCGAGAAGUCCGUGGUUCGAGUCUCGGCGAGGGCA